UGGGGAAUUUUGGACAAUGGGGGAAACCCUGAUCCAGCCAUCCCGCGUGUGCGAUGAAGGCCUUCGGGUUGUAAAGCACUUUUGGCAGGAAAGAAACGUCAUGGGUUAAUACCCCGUGAAACUGACGGUACCUGCAGAAUAAGCACCGGCUAACUACGUGCCAGCAGCCGCGGUAAUACGUAGGGUGCAAGCGUUAAUCGGAAUUACUGGGCGUAAAGCGUGCGCAGGCGGUUCGGACAGAAAGAUGUGAAAUCCCAGAGCUCAACUUUGGAACUGCAUUUUUAACUACCGGGCUAGGGUGUGUCAGAGGGAGGUGGAAUUCCGCGUGUAGCAGUGAAAUGCGUAGAUAUGCGGAGGAACACCGAUGGCGAAGGCAGCCUCCUGGGAUAACACUGACGCUCAUGCACGAAAGCGUGGGGAGCAAACAGG
RNAcentral lists this ribosomal RNA (429 nucleotides) under Acidobacteriota bacterium. RNAcentral describes it as "Acidobacteria bacterium partial 16S ribosomal RNA". It matches the Rfam family "Bacterial small subunit ribosomal RNA", at positions 355 to 776 of the family's 1533-position model. The record is from RNAcentral. Lineage: Bacteria; Pseudomonadati; Acidobacteriota.